CAGCCGCCGCGGUAAUACGUAGGGUGCGAGCGUUAAUCGGAUUUACUGGGCGUAAAGCGUGCGCAGGCGGCCCGUUAAGACAGGUGUGAAAUCCCUGGGCUCAACCUAGGAAUUGCGCUUGUGACUGGCGGGCUCGAGUACGGUAGAGGGGGGUGGAAUUCCUGGUGUAGCAGUGAAAUGCGUAGAGAUCAGGAGGAACACCGAUGGCGACGGCAGCCCCCUGGGCCUGUACUGACGCUCAUGCACGAAAGCGUGGGGAGCAAACAGGAUUAGAUUCCCUGGUAGUCCACGCCCUAAGCGAUGGGUACUAGCCGUUUGGUGCGCGAGAGCGCUGAGUGGCGAAGCUAACGCGUGAAGUACCCCGCCUGGGGAGUACGGCCGCAAGGUUGAAACUUAAAGGAAUUGGCGGG
Molecule: ribosomal RNA, 410 nt
Filed under: uncultured microorganism
Description: bacterial SSU rRNA
Rfam family: Bacterial small subunit ribosomal RNA
Source: RNAcentral